This 1295-nucleotide ribosomal RNA is filed under the name metagenome. RNAcentral's name for it is "SSU rRNA". It matches the Rfam family "Eukaryotic small subunit ribosomal RNA", at positions 497 to 1823 of the family's 1831-position model. The record is from RNAcentral.
AGAGGCCCGCUAUCGGAAUGGGUACAAUUUAAACCCUUUAACGAGGACCUAUGAGAGGGCAAGUCUGGUGCCAGCAGCCGCGGUAAUUCCAGCUCUCAAGGUGUAUAUCGCCAUUGCUGCGGUUAAAAAGCUCGUAGUUGGAUCUGCGCCUUCGGACUCGGUCCUCCCAACGGGUGCGAACUGAGCUCCAAGGCUACUACUGCUGGUUUUCCCUUGAUGCUCUUCACUGGGUGUCUUGGGUGGCUAGCGAGUUUACUUUGAAAAAAUUAGAGUGCUCAAAACAGGCUAUUGCCUGAAUACCGGUGCAUGGAAUAAUAGAAUAGGAUCUCGGUCCUAUUUUGUUGGUUUUCGGAACUGAGAUAAUGGUUAAGAGGGACAGACGGGGGCAUUCGUAUCGCUGCGUGAGAGGUGAAAUUCUUGGACCGCAGCGAGACGCCCAACUGCGAAAGCAUUUGCCAAGAAUGUCUUCGUUAAUCAAGAACGAAAGUCAGAGGUUCGAAGGCGAUCAGAUACCGCCCUAGUUCUGACCGUAAACGAUGCCAACUAGCGAUCCGCCGGUGGUAAUUACGCCCCGGCGGGGAGCUUCCCGGAAACGAAAGUCUUCCGGUUCCGGGGGAAGUAUGGUUGCAAAGCUGAAACUUAAAGGAAUUGACGGAAGGGCACCACCAGGAGUGGAGCUUGCGGCUUAAUUUGACCCAACACGGGAAAACUCACCCGGCCCGGACACCGUAAGGAUUGACAGAUUGAGAGCUCUUUCUUGAUUCGGUGGUUGGUGGUGCAUGGCCGUUCUUAGUUGGUGGAGCGAUUUGUCUGGUUUAUUCCGAUAACGAACGAGACUCUGGCCUACUAACUAGUGACAGAAUUAUUGCUGUUCUGGUUACUUCUUAGAGGGACAAGUGGUGUUCAGCCACACGAAAUUGAGCAAUAACAGGUCUGUGAUGCCCUUAGAUGUCCGGGGCUGCACGCGUGCUACACUGGAGGAAACAGCAUGCAAAACCAUUGCCGAGAGGCAUUGGUAAACCCAAGAAAAUCUUCCGUGAUCGGGAUCGGGAAUUGCAAUUAUUUCCCUUGAACGAGGAAUUCCCAGUAAGUGUGGGUCAUCAGCUCGCGCUGAUUACGUCCCUGCCCUUUGUACACACCGCCCGUCGCUGCCCGGGACUGAGCCGUUUCGAGAAAAGCGGGGACUGCUGCUGUUGGGGCUUUCGGGCCUUGGCUUCGGUGGAAACCGCUUUAAUCGCAGUGGCUUGAACCGGGCAAAAGUCGUAACAAGGUUUCCGUAGGUGAACCUGCGGAAG